Molecule: ribosomal RNA, 253 nt
Filed under: uncultured prokaryote
Description: partial 16S ribosomal RNA
Rfam family: Bacterial small subunit ribosomal RNA
Source: RNAcentral
UACAGAGGUCCCAAGCGUUGUUCGGAUUCAUUGGGCGUAAAGGGUGCGUAGGUGGCGGGGUAAGUUGGAUGUGAAAUCCCGGGGCUCAACCCUGGAACUGCAUUCAAUACUGCUCUGCUAGAGUACUGGAGAGGAGAUUGGAAUUCAUGGUGUAGCAGUGAAAUGCGUAGAUAUCAUGAGGGAGACCAGUGGCGAAGGCGGAUCUCUGGACAGUUACUGACACUGAGGCACGAAGGCCAGGGGAGCAAACGGG